UCAAAUUUGAAAUCUGGCCCUUGGGUCCGAAUUGUAAUUUGUAGAGGAUGAUUUUGGUGCGGUAUCUUCCGAGUUCCUUGGAACAGGACGCCUUAGAGGGUGAGAGCCCCGUACGGUUGAAUGCCUAGCCUCUGUAAAUCUCCUUCGACGAGUCGAGUAGUUUGGGAAUGCUGCUCUAAAUGGGAGGUAAAUUUCUUCUAAAGCUAAAUACUGGCCAGAGACCGAUAGCGCACAAGUAGAGUGAUCGAAAGAUGAAAAGCACUUUGAAAAGAGGGUUAAAUAGCACGUGAAAUUGUUGAAAGGGAAGGAUUUAUGACCAGACUUUUUCUGGGCGGAUCAUCCGGUGUUCUCACCGGUGCACUUUGCCCAGUUUAGGCCAGCAUCGAUUUUUGGAGAGGGAUAAAAGCUUUAGGAAUGUGGCUCCUCCGGGAGUGUUAUAGCCUAUUGUAUAAUACCUUUCCGGGGAUCGAGGUACGCGCUUCUGCAAGGAUGCUGGCGUAAUGGUUAUCAAUCACCCGUCUUGAAACACGGACCAAGGAGUCGAACAUUUGUGCGAGUGUUUGGGUGUUAAACCCUCACGCGUAAUGAAAGUGAACGGAGGUGAGAGCCCUUACGGGUGCAUCAUCGACCGAUCCUGAAGUUUUCGGAUGGAUUUGAGUAAGAGCAUAACUGUUCGGACCCGAAAGAUGGUGAACUAUGCGUGGAUAGGGUGAAGCCAGAGGAAACUCUGGUGGAGGCUCGCAGCGGUUCUGACGUGCAAAUCGAUCGUCAAAUCUGCGCAU
Molecule: ribosomal RNA, 782 nt
Filed under: Seiridium guangyuanum
Lineage: Eukaryota; Fungi; Ascomycota; Sordariomycetes; Amphisphaeriales; Sporocadaceae
Description: partial large subunit ribosomal RNA
Rfam family: Eukaryotic large subunit ribosomal RNA
Source: RNAcentral